RNAcentral lists this ribosomal RNA (273 nucleotides) under uncultured bacterium. Its description in RNAcentral is "partial 16S ribosomal RNA". It matches the Rfam family "Bacterial small subunit ribosomal RNA", at positions 524 to 796 of the family's 1533-position model. The record is from RNAcentral.
UACGUAGGUGGCAAGCGUUGUCCGGAUUUAUUGGGCGUAAAGCGCUCGCAGGCGGUCUUUUAAGUCUGAUGUGAAAUCUCGUGGCUUAACCACGAGCGGUCAUUGGAAACUGGAGGACUUGAGUGCAGAAGAGGAGAGUGGAAUUCCACGUGUAGCGGUGAAAUGCGUAGAGAUGUGGAGGAACACCAGUGGCGAAGGCGACUCUCUGGUCUGUAACUGACGCUGAGGAGCGAAAGCGUGGGGAGCGAACAGGAUUAGAAACCCCCGUAGUCC